RNAcentral lists this ribosomal RNA (354 nucleotides) under uncultured eukaryote. RNAcentral's name for it is "LSU rRNA". It matches the Rfam family "Bacterial large subunit ribosomal RNA", at positions 2126 to 2479 of the family's 2925-position model. The record is from RNAcentral.
GGCUUUGUUUGCGCAGGAUAGGUGGGAGGCGUUGAAGAUUUUCCUGCGGGAAAGUCAGAGCCGUUGGUGAGAUACCACUCUAACAAUGCUAGGAUUCUAACCCUAUACCGUUAUCCGGUUAGGGGACAGUUUCAGGUGGUCAGUUUGACUGGGGCGGUCGCCUCCCAAAAGGUAACGGAGGCGUGCAAAGGUUUCCUCAGGCUGGUUGGAAAUCAGUCGUAGAGUGUAAAGGCAUAAGGAAGCUUGAUUGUGAGACCUACAGGUCGAACAAAGACGAAAGUCGGCCUUAGUGAUCCGACGGUUCCGAGUGGAAGGGCCGUCGCUCAACGGAUAAAAGUUACUCUAGGGAUAACA